Hyaena hyaena (striped hyena) is the source of this 1366-nucleotide RNA transcript. It is a transcript of the gene named retinitis pigmentosa 9 protein-like, with no coding region annotated. The record is from RefSeq and is a predicted model, not a curated record. NCBI's taxonomy places the organism in Eukaryota, Metazoa, Chordata, Mammalia, Carnivora, Hyaenidae. The transcript has 8 exons.
CCGGCCGGGCGCGGCGCGGAGGAAGUGCCGUCUUCGCCGCUUCAGCUACUGGAGCCGCCUCAGGCGCGCCGCGGGUCGCCUCCGCCGCGCCGGCCGCGAUGUCUUCCCGGCCGGGGCGUGACGACGCGCGGGCCGGGGGCGCGCGGCGGCCGCGGGAGUCGGCGGAGCAGGAGCUGCAGCGGCGCCGAGAGCAGAAGCGGCGGCGACACGACGCGCAACAGCUGCAGCAGCUCAAGCACCUGGAGUCCUUUUAUGAAAAACCUCCUCCUGGGCUUAUCAAGGAAGAUGAGACUAAGCCGGAAGACUGUAUACCAGACGUACCAGGCAACGAACAUGCCAGGGAAUUUCUGGCUCACGCACCAACUAAAGGACUUUGGAUGCCCCUGGGGAAAGAAGUCAAAGUUAUGCAGUGUUGGCGUUGUAAACGGUAUGGUCACCGAACAGGCGACAAAGAAUGUCCUUUUUUUAUCAAAGGCAACCAAAAGUUAGAACAGUUCAGAGUAGCACAUGAAGAUCCCAUGUAUGACAUCAUACGAGAGAAUAAAAGACAUGAAAAGGAUGUAAGGAUACAGCAGUUAAAACAGUUACUGGAGGACUCCACCUCCGAUGAAGAUGGGAGCAGCUCCAGCUCCUCAGAAUGUAAAGAGAAACACAAGAAAAAGAAGAAGAAAGAAAAGCAUAAGAAAAGGAAAAAAGAAAAGAAGAAGAAGAAACGAAAGCAUAAGUCUUCCAAGUCGAAUGACAGUUCAGACUCAGACUGACGAGGACUGGACUUACUCCACAUUCUCCUCUCAAAAUCAGACACGGUGGCCCCAGACCAGUGGGGGUGGAAUCGGGGAGGACUCGGAGGCCCUGAGAGAGCAGGGCAUUCGGUGUCACGCGUUUGAAUUCUUACCUGCCUUCUGGUGAAGAUGUGCCCCCCGGAGGGGCUGUGAUAGGAUGGAAAAAACUGAUUCCUACACACUGAUGAGAAAUGACAGCAGAGGCAAAUGAGUCUUUAAGAAGACUAAAGCCUCAUAUUAGAGCUUGGAAAAACUAAGUAUUCACAGCUGCAGUUGGCCAAAUUACAGUUCUGGAAAAUGAGAUGCAUGUGAAGUCUGCUGAGUUGGGGGUAUGAGGUAUUUAUCUUGAGAAGGCUUCUACUUUUUGAAAAAACAAAAACAAACUUAGAUGGUUGAGGCCACUCCUUUCCCCAUCUUCCUGCCUUCAACAAAAGUCUGAAGCCUACAACUGCUACAGCCUUCCUGUAACUAGGAGAAACGUCAAGAGAAUCACAGAAAUUGUGCCUUUGCUGUUUCUGAGCUGUUGAAACCAGGGCAACUGUCUGCAGACUUAUGUGAACAAAUAAACCCUUAUUUAAGCCAUU